GCUCAGUACUAGUUCAUUUUGGGUGUAUGGCACUGUAUGAGAAAUCAAUGUCUGUGUGUUCCGGGGAGUGUAGGGUCGCAAGUCUGACACUUAAAAGAAUUGACGGAAGCGCAACACCAAGAGUGGCGCGUGCGGCAUUAUGAGACUCCACACGGAGACACUUCACAUCUCCGGACAUUGUAAGGAUAGACAGAUACACCUCUUUUUCGUGAUUCUAUGGGGGGGGGCGCAGGGCCUUUCUUAGUGGGGGGAGAGAUUUGUGUGGUAAAUUCUGUUAACGAACGAGACCUUCGCCUGCUAAAUGGGUAUGUAUAACUACGGUUAUAUAGGCACCUUCUUAGGGGGACACUGUGUGUUCAACACAGGGAAGUUGGAGGCAAUAACAGGUCUGUGAUGCCCUUAGAUGUUCUGGGCCGCACGCGCGCUACACUGACACACUCAACAAGCUUAUAACCUUGUCCGAGAGGUCUGGGAAAUCUUUGAAUAUGUGUCGUGAUGGGGAUAGAUCGUUGCAAUUCUCGAUCUUCAACGAGGAAUUCCUAGUAAACGCAGUUCAUCAGACUGCAUUGAUUACGUCCCUGCCCUUUGUACACACCGCCCGUCGCACCUACCGAUUGAAUGGUCCGGUGAGAAUUUUGGAUUGAUGUUUCGUCGGGUUAACGCCAGACUUUACGUUGAGAAGUUAUUCAAACCUUACCAUUUAG
This 704-nucleotide ribosomal RNA is filed under the name uncultured marine eukaryote. RNAcentral's name for it is "bacterial SSU rRNA". It matches the Rfam family "Eukaryotic small subunit ribosomal RNA", at positions 1045 to 1776 of the family's 1831-position model. The record is from RNAcentral.